AUGCAAGUCGAGCGAACAGAUAAGGAGCUUGCUCCUUUGACGUUAGCGGCGGACGGGUGAGUAACACGUGGGUAACCUACCUAUAAGACUGGGAUAACUUCGGGAAACCGGAGCUAAUACCGGAUAACAUUUGGAACCGCAUGGUUCUAAAGUGAAAGAUGGUUUUGCUAUCACUUAUAGAUGGACCCGCGCCGUAUUAGCUAGUUGGUAAGGUAACGGCUUACCAAGGCGACGAUACGUAGCCGACCUGAGAGGGUGAUCGGCCACACUGGAACUGAGACACGGUCCAGACUCCUACGGGAGGCAGCAGUAGGGAAUCUUCCGCAAUGGGCGAAAGCCUGACGGAGCAACGCCGCGUGAGUGAUGAAGGGUUUCGGCUCGUAAAACUCUGUUAUUAGGGAAGAACAAAUGUGUAAGUAACUGUGCACGUCUUGACGGUACCUAAUCAGAAAGCCACGGCUAACUACGUGCCAGCAGCCGCGGUAAUACGUAGGUGGCAAGCGUUAUCCGGAAUUAUUGGGCGUAAAGCGCGCGUAGGCGGUUUCUUAAGUCUGAUGUGAAAGCCCACGGCUCAACCGUGGAGGGUCAUUGGAAACUGGGAAACUUGAGUGCAGAAGAGGAAAGUGGAAUUCCAUGUGUAGCGGUGAAAUGCGCAGAGAUAUGGAGGAACACCAGUGGCGAAGGCGACUUUCUGGUCUGUAACUGACGCUGAUGUGCGAAAGCGUGGGGAUCAAACAGGAUUAGAUACCCUGGUAGUCCACGCCGUAAACGAUGAGUGCUAAGUGUUAGGGGGUUUCCGCCCCUUAGUGCUGCAGCUAACGCAUUAAGCACUCCGCCUGGGGAGUACGACCGCAAGGUUGAAACUCAAAGGAAUUGACGGGGACCCGCACAAGCGGUGGAGCAUGUGGUUUAAUUCGAAGCAACGCGAAGAACCUUACCAAAUCUUGACAUCCUUUGAAAACUCUAGAGAUAGAGCCUUCCCCUUCGGGGGACAAAGUGACAGGUGGUGCAUGGUUGUCGUCAGCUCGUGUCGUGAGAUGUUGGGUUAAGUCCCGCAACGAGCGCAACCCUUAAGCUUAGUUGCCAUCAUUAAGUUGGGCACUCUAGGUUGACUGCCGGUGACAAACCGGAGGAAGGUGGGGAUGACGUCAAAUCAUCAUGCCCCUUAUGAUUUGGGCUACACACGUGCUACAAUGGACAAUACAAAGGGCAGCUAAACCGCGAGGUCAUGCAAAUCCCAUAAAGUUGUUCUCAGUUCGGAUUGUAGUCUGCAACUCGACUACAUGAAGCUGGAAUCGCUAGUAAUCGUAGAUCAGCAUGCUACGGUGAAUACGUUCCCGGGUCUUGUACACACCGCCCGUCACACCACGAGAGUUUGUAACACCCGAAGCCGGUGGAGUAACCAUUUAUGGAGCU
RNAcentral lists this ribosomal RNA (1416 nucleotides) under Staphylococcus pseudoxylosus. RNAcentral's name for it is "bacterial SSU rRNA". It matches the Rfam family "Bacterial small subunit ribosomal RNA". The record is from RNAcentral. Lineage: Bacteria; Bacillati; Bacillota; Bacilli; Caryophanales; Staphylococcaceae.